This is a long non-coding RNA of Acinonyx jubatus (cheetah), 3757 nucleotides long. RefSeq lists it as uncharacterized. The transcript is spliced from 2 exons. The record is from RefSeq and is a predicted model, not a curated record. NCBI's taxonomy places the organism in Eukaryota, Metazoa, Chordata, Mammalia, Carnivora, Felidae.
CUCUCUCUCUCUCUCAAAAUAAAUAAAGGAAUAUUAAAAAAAAAUACACCUCAUAAAGGAGAGAGUUCCAGCAAUAUAGCACUUAGGUGCAAAUAAUUUAUUUGUUGUGAGGCACUCUGAAUAUGAAAUACCAAGACAAUUUAAUAGAACUCCUACUGAAGAGAGAAUAUAUUUAGCUACUGAAGCUUCCUCCAGAGACAGCUCAUAACUCAUGAAGUUAUGUAACUGCUGAGAGCAGCUUUGAUGAUUCCAGAGUCUAACUCUCAGGGAGGCUUUUCACUAAGAGGCUGCGUGUAUUUAUGAUCUUAGCCAGAGCAAGUGUAAUGCUACACACAAACGGAAUAAAUACACAACGAUCAUCAACACGAUGGAGCACUGAGUGGGACAUUCGCUUAGAUAUAUAGUAAACAUAAGUAGUCACUUUAGUUCCCACAGCAUUUUUUUUUUUUUGACAAUUCCAUUCGGGGUCGAAAAGCUUAUUUUGGGGGGCAUUUUGUUGAGUUUCUCCUCACUAGUAUAUUUCUGUCCCUCAAGUAGCCUUUUCAAUAGUUAUCCCUGCAGAUGUUAAUAUUUACAAAAGGACUUCGGAGAAAUUUAAAGCAGACACUAUUUUUCAUGCUACCAAUUUGUUUAACCUCUGGAGCUAAAAAAAACUGUUUUGAGAUACAGCACAUUUAAUAAUUUCUUUAUAAGAAAACCCAAGAUUUUUUUACUCCUAGAAUUGGCUAUGUAUAAAUCACCUUCCUAAGAUUACAAAAUGGUAGAUCUUCUUGUUAAACCAGACUCAGAAAAUUCUCCCCUUUCCUCAAAGACACCCUAGUCCACCAUGCUUACAAAUGAGCACAGUUACCAAGCACUGGGUGGUAGAUACCAUAUAUUUUUUAAAAGCUGCAUACGUUCCCAAACAAACCUACACAGAAAGAUGUUUCAUAAUACCUGACCCAUUAAAAAGCUUAGUGUGGACAGAGAUCAAACCUAACCUCUUUGCCAUUCUCUGUUGUGCUUGGUCAUCUGGGACUUGUGACACAUCAUUUUUUAAGCCUGGUGAAGGGGAGAAAGAUCGUAUCUCUGUUCAUGUCACAUUUCAAUUGUUCAAUUAAUACCAGAUAACUUAAUAUUAAAAAGGCGCACUCAUCAGGCUAAAGGACAGACCUUUAUAGAAAAUAUUUGUGAUCUUUCAACUGUCAGGAUCCAAGUAGCUACUCCUUUUCAAGAUACCAAAACUGUUGCAGCUUCUUCCAGAAUUAACAAAUCUCUCCUGAGCAGUGUGACUUAACAUAGUCAAGAUUUUCUGAAGCCAUAAGCUGUAUUUCAAUGUGAAGUAAACUCCUUACCAGCAGUCUUUGAAGUCUCUUUGGGAAAAGUUGUUAUUAUAAUUUUCUGGUUAAAUACUUAGGGAUUGAAUUACAAUAAAAGAUUCUAACAGAUUUUAUCUUUUGGAUUUAAGACAGUUUGGAGGAGGAGCUCUGGAGAAAAAAGGCUGUGUUGGGAAAAAGAGCACUGCUGAAAGCAAAGCAAAGGCUGUCUGAUCAGAGAGCAAUUCUGGAAGGGCCAAACUCAUGAUGGUCCAAGCACUGGCACUAUUAACUGCCUUUCCCUCUCAAAUGUCUUCUCACCCUUAGCCUACAGACAUGCUUAAGUCUCUCCCAUCUGAAAACACACCAAAAUCUUUCUUCUACCCCGUGUCCUGCCCCACACUGCAGACCACCUUUAGCUCUCACCCUCUCUCUCUUCUUCUAAAACUCUUGAAAGAGCAGGCUACUUAGCUCUACCUCUUCUCCCUCCACUCCCUCCCUGACCCAUAGCAACCUGCGUUGGGCGCCCCCGCCCCCACCCCUAGGAGCAGACGCCACCAUGGAACACCGUCCUCAUGAUAGCCAAAUCCAACUUUUCAGGCUUGAUGGCUAUUGCUGACCAUUCCCUUCUUGCUUAAAACUUUCAUUGGUUUUAGUAAUAUUACUUUUUCCUGAUUUUCUUCCUCUCUCUGACUAAAUAUUUUCAAUCAUCCUUUACAGUUUCUUCUUUUCAGCAGCAGCUUUCCAGACCGCUGCCAAAAUAUAUGCACCCUGAAUGCUGGUGUGCCACCAACUCCACCCUUUGCUCUCCUCUCUUUUUAUUCUUCAUAUUCUUCCUUGGCAGUCACACUUCCUCUAGGCUCUUCUCCAGCUUCUGAUGUUAUAAAAAUAUAUAUACUAUUAACUACCUCAAACAUACAUACAGCCCAGGUUUCUCUCCCAAGCACAGAUGUGUAAGCCUGCCUAUCCACUAGACAUCCCCAUGUGAUGGCACAUUCAAUGCAUCUAAACCCAGGCUCAUAAUCUAACUCCCCAGACAGGUAUACCCCUCCUCCUCUACUUCCUUUUUCUGUUGAUGGCAUUACCAUCCUUCCAGUCAUCCAAGCUAGAACCUUCAGAAUCCUAUCUUAUCUUUUCUCCUUUAAUCCCUUUUAUACUUUCUAUUAUUGUUCACCAAGUCCUCUUAGUUCUACUUUCCAACUUAUGUUUCAAGUAUGUCUCUCCUUUCAAUUCCCAAUGCUGUUGACUUAGGUCCUCAUCCUUUCCUAUUUGAACCAGUGCAAUCAAUAGCUUCUCAACUGUGCUCCCUGCCUCAAACAUUUCCCAUAUCUAUGUAGCAUACAACUUAUCUACUAAAUCUAUCUUCUAAUUUUUAUUUUUAGAUAUGACUAAAGUAACUCAGACUUCUGGGAAAAUUGUAGAUUUACUUCAUGUGGAUUUACCUGUGCUCCAAACAGAAAGAGUUAGAGAUGAAUAAGGAGUAGAAACCACAAUGAAUUAAAUAGGACACCAUGAAAAAAGAACAGACAGAUAUGAGAAAAAACCUAACCAAUAUUCUGGAUGUAAAACAUGUAUUCAUGGAAAUAAAAAGCUCAGUGGAUCAGGUAAACAUCUGGUUAAAUAGUAGGUGAAGAGAGAAUUCAACUCACUGGAAGAUAAUGUAUCACAAAGGGGUAAAACAAUGGGAAAUACGACAGAGAAGUUAAAAAGGUAGGUCCAGUAGACAUCUGACAGGAUUUCUAGGAAACGAGAGAGGAUGGCAGAAGAGCAGUGCUUGAAGUGACAAUAACUGUACAUUUUCCAAGUGGAAGAAGCAUGAUGAAUGUGAAGAAGGAAAUGAAAACAAAGAUACAUCAUAGGGAAACUGCAGAACACCAAAGACAGAGAAAAUCUUAAAAGCCACCAGAGAGAAAAUCAGAUUACCUACAAAGUAAUGAUAACUACAUUGACAAUGGACUUCAAUGGCAUAGAGAACGUCAAAGUUCUCAAAACACUGAGGGAUGACUGACAAUGUAGAAAUUCCCUGCUUUGCUCGACAAUCAUGCAAUUGUGAAGGCAAAAUAAAGACAUUUUCAAAGAUGGUUUAUCAUUUACAGACUCUUAAUAAAAGAACAUUUUUUCAGCAAAAAGAAAGCUGAACACAGAAUGAAUAAUCGGAUGAAAGGAGCAACACUGAACAAAGACACUGCACCUGGUACACAGCAGGUAUUGAUACUUGCUGGAUGAAAGAUGAACACAGAAUUUCUAAAGAAAACAGGAGGUUACCCCCAGUUAGCAAUUUCCUCAACAUCUGAAGCAGUCUUACCUCCACAAUACUCUUGGUCACAGGAGAUCUUCCUCUUCGAAGUUCAUUGGCUUCUCUUUGUACAAAACAGAGUGGUACUUUUCCUACAAGGACCAGAGAAUCACUAUUGUCUGGAAAUAUAAUUUCAAGGCCCAGAUCUUCCAGAUUUUUGUGGUAG